This 787-nucleotide ribosomal RNA is filed under the name uncultured bacterium. RNAcentral's name for it is "bacterial SSU rRNA". It matches the Rfam family "Bacterial small subunit ribosomal RNA", at positions 8 to 796 of the family's 1533-position model. The record is from RNAcentral.
AGAGUUUGAUCAUGGCUCAGGAUGAACGCUAGCGGCAGGCUUAACACAUGCAAGUCGAGGGGUAUUGUUCUUCGGAAUGAGAGACCGGCGCACGGGUGCGUAACGCGUAUGCAAUCUACCUUUCACAGAGGGAUAGCCCAGAGAAAUUUGGAUUAAUACCUCAUAGCAUUAUGAAAUGGCAUCAUUUUAUAAUUAAAGUCACAACGGUGAAAGAUGAGCAUGCGUCCCAUUAGCUAGUUGGUAAGGUAACGGCUUACCAAGGCUACGAUGGGUAGGGGUCCUGAGAGGGAGAUCCCCCACACUGGUACUGAGACACGGACCAGACUCCUACGGGAGGCAGCAGUGAGGAAUAUUGGUCAAUGGGCGCAAGCCUGAACCAGCCAUGCCGCGUGCAGGAUGACGGUCCUAUGGAUUGUAAACUGCUUUUGUACGGGAAGAAACACUCCGACGUGUCGGAGCUUGACGGUACCGUAAGAAUAAGGAUCGGCUAACUCCGUGCCAGCAGCCGCGGUAAUACGGAGGAUCCAAGCGUUAUCCGGAAUCAUUGGGUUUAAAGGGUCCGUAGGCGGUUUAGUAAGUCAGUGGUGAAAGCCCAUCGCUCAACGGUGGAACGGCCAUUGAUACUGCUAGACUUGAAUUAUUGGGAAGUAACUAGAAUAUGUAGUGUAGCGGUGAAAUGCUUAGAGAUUACAUGGAAUACCAAUUGCGAAGGCAGGUUACUACCAAUGGAUUGACGCUGAUGGACGAAAGCGUGGGUAGCGAACAGGAUUAGAUACCCUAGUAGUCC